RNAcentral lists this non-coding RNA (27 nucleotides) under Rattus norvegicus (Norway rat). Lineage: Eukaryota; Metazoa; Chordata; Mammalia; Rodentia; Muridae. The record is from RNAcentral.
UGCCUUCAUUUUCUAGAAGUGCGGGGA